CAAGUGCCUCUUUGCCUGUGAGCAACCAGACUCUUACUCUGUGCAGAAUUAAACAGAGGACGAAUCUGGCAGGCCAGGCUACCAGACUGCAGCGCCAGGUCAGAGCUUGGCCCAUGUGCCUUUGCUUUGGGUUUGAAAGGAUGGGUAGCCUUAGGGGUUGAUUGUUAUCUUUGGUUAUCUAGCUGUAUGAGUGAUGUACAUUCUUCAUAAAGCUAGAUAACCGAAAGUAACAAGAAUCCCAUUACACUCCUGGAAAGGCAUCAAGACCCCAAAAACUCCCCUGUCUUCGAAAUGUAAAUGCAAAAUGUAGAAGAUUCAAGAGAAGAAGGUGGACGGCAUUUCCGAGGAGAUGGGAGCUGAAGGCAGAAAAAGGAUGCCGUACUAGUGAGGAGAAACUGGCAAAAGACGACUGGAAACAGAAAAAGGAGGAGGAGGGGUUGCUGUUGAUUCUGCCCUCCCUCUCUCAUCGCCCUUUUCUGCAUCGCCUCUUUCCUCCUCCUCCUCGUCCCUUUCUCCUCCACUCCAUCUUCAGCAUACUGCCCCUUUUUUUCCCCUGUACAGCGAAAUGCAGCCCCGCGCCACCAUCUUAGAGCAACGCUGGCAUAAAAUGGAAGCAUGAAGACCAGUCAGUACAGAUAAACACCGGUGAUUGAGGUGACUCCAGAGAAAAGGACAGAGCACACAGCAGGUCUCCUGCUUUGGUGAUUGUUUGCUGCCAUUCAGUCAAAGUAAACAUGGAUGGAGCUGAUGUCUGCGCACAACGUGACCAGGAUGCUACAUCAGAAGACCCAGGAAUCCACUUGGAGUGCUUGCCACCACGUCUCGAUGUUUCUAGCUGCGUAAACAUCAUGGCGGACUGUGAUUCUAGCAGUCAGAUAAUUAGCAGCUUGUUAUGAGUGCAUUGGUCUCACAUUGAGACUCUUGUAUUAUCUUGUACGCUAGCUGUUAUUAACGUAAGAAUGUGUGUGUAUUUAACCAUGUAGGCUCCACUUGAUGUUUGUGAUUUGAGUUGAAGCCCAGAUUUAGUUCCAUUUCCGUUUUGUUAUAGUUGCUAGGACUCAAAAGACACAUGAAUGUGAGACCCACGACAGCAGUGAAUAUUACUGCACUGCGAUUGGGCAGCUCCGUGUGUCGGCUGACACAAUGGCGAAGGAGUGAGCUGCCGUCUUUAUACUCUAUGCAACUCUUCUGUCUCGUUUUUGUCUUGAGCAGAAGCUCUUUAAUCUGUUUUAGUUUUUGUUUUGGGCUAACCUUUCAUUGCGUUCUUGCAGACGUGAAAAAAAAAGGUUUUUGUCGGUUUUAGGAGCCUAACGUUCCCGUGGUUACAGUGAGAAAACAUUAUUAGUGUGUGCGUGCAUGUGAGUGAAUAAGCUCAGUCUCUUGGAUUGUGCAGCUGUGAGCCAGAAUGUGAACAAACGUGGACUCGGACAUUAAAUGGGGUGUUUGAUCAGCAGGCUGCUGCCUGUUUUCAGAAUACGAUUAAACUACUUUUCCCAGCAUGCUUUAGGACACACCAGUUUGCUUCAUAACAGUUACCAUCGUAGUCGUAAUAAUAUGUCUUUGUGUAAGACGUAGCAAAUGCCCUAAACUCAAGCAUUUCCUGUUCUUGACAUUACACACACACACACACACACGCACGCACGCACACACACACACACACACACACACACACACACACACACAUGCAAUUAGUACUGUACUUUCACAGCCUAAUUCAGUCUUUAUUAAUUUUCAGAAAGUGGAAUUUUUUCUUUUUUAUUAUUGUGAUUGAUAAUCUAUGCAAAUCAUUUCCUUUAAACAGACAAUGCAGUGCUUUUGCAGUUGAUUCAAGGGAGAUUAUCUUGACCUAAUUUAGAAAAUGUAUUCUUUUGAUAAUCAUUCUCAUCCCAGUGCUCAAGACAAUUACUUAUCUGCCUGGAUACGCUUGAAAUGAUCUUUUUAAUCUUUUGCAAAAAAAAAAGAAGAAAUUCCCUCUUAUGAUGUGAGUCCAGAGGCAUGGAAACUAUAAUAAUGAUGAUAGUAAUAAUAAUAAUAACAAUAAUAAAAUCACUGUCGCAAAUAACUCUUUUUAUUUAAAUGCAGAUCAAAUAGAUUAUAUUUAGCUGUGUCUGCUCAUUAACUUGUUUUAAACAAUCUCUUUAUGAAUGAGCGCUCACCACAGGUGCCUUUGUUUAUCAGACUUGCUGGAAUAUUAUUAUUAAUUAUAACAAUAAAGGUUUACAUUCAAAACAAAGCAAAAACUGCAUUCUUGACUUCCUUGUGUCUUUCUUAUAAUUCAUUGUGUGCCUAUAGGUGGCAGCCUUUUUACAAAGGAACAAAACAUGACACGAAGAAGUUAAAUUAGGUCAGUCUGCUUCAGUUAGUCACAUGAAUAGUAAGGCUGCAUUUUAAAUUUCAGAAAAUAACAAAAAAGAAAUAGAAAUUAUUUGACAUUUUCUGUCACCAUUUUGUGCCAGCGCUGUUACAAACAAAACAAAAGAUCAGAAAGUCUCCUCAGAUCACACAGAUGUUCAAAUAUCAAGGAUUUACAGAUCUGUUCUCCAUUUAAUUAGCUUCCUGAAGCGGUUAUCGACCAUUUUGUUGUAAUGUAAAUGAAUCACGAGCUAACGUGCAUGCACACAUGCAGAAAUGAUUGAGAGGAAACUGAAUGAUCAGCUACUCCACCUCCACAUCGUUAGAUAUGAGUGCACGCCGGCUAACAUGCGGGCCUCAGUCUACCGUUUCAACUCACCUCCCCUGUGUGAUCUGAUGUCUGACGCCACAUAUGGCCAAUGUGCCAACAUCAACAUAUGCCUGCCUCACAAUUCAUUAACAUUGUCAUGUAAAAAAGGGCCUUCUCACCAUAAAACACAUGAAAUGUGGCCUUUUACGGUAUGGCAGGUGUUGCUGCUCUCUUCAUUCCCUUUUAAGAAGCCUUUGGUAAUUUAAUGCAAGGCGUUUUUACCCAAACACACCCACUUGGGUAUUUGCGCCUCAGUUUUUAAUGGCGGGCACCUCUCCUCUUGUUUACAGCGACGCUGCACGUACAAACGACAUGUUAACAGCAGCUCCGUGCAAAUAUUACAGCGCCCUUAUUAACCAGGGUAGGCUGCAAUUACAUUAUGUCCCAGGCGUUAACAUCGGCGGUUCUCGGUGACAGCUCGGCUCGCCCUCUGUGUUUCUUGGCUGCAUUCUGGCCCUCAUAAUCUGUUUCACAGCUUUUGUAAGGGUGCCAAGAGGCAAGUUGCCCUAGCCAAGCUCUAUAGGCCUUAAUGAAGUGAGUGCCACUGUUAAGCACUCUAGAACAUGUUGGAAUGACGGCGUACAACUGUCCUGUCACUAGCAGCCAUGUUAUAUCACAGUCUGGGAUACAGGCGCUCUCCCUCAGCGCUGUGUCACAUCUCUGGGUAAAGAGGGGAAGCCUCCAGCCUUCGUUUGGCUUUGUGUGGCUAACAUAUUUGAUCCAGAAACUCUGUUUUAGGGAAACUCAGGGUGUGGCUUCUCCUUGGGAUGAGGCACACCAUGGCUGCUCAUAAAACGUUAGAGCGCGAGACUGAAGGAUUAGAUUCCAAGAUGGUGCCGUGUUGCAGCGAUAAAUAGAAAAGUUUAACUUUGAUGGACAAAUUCACGAGGCCUCAUGGUGGCGGGGCGUCUGAAGAGGGAAAUGGCUGGUAUUGGUGCAAGUCCAAGGUCAAAGAACAAGGGUGAUGCUCCUUUCAUUAGUUCCCCAGAAUCAUCAUUGGUAUGCAGGAAUGUGGCCCCAGGAGGUGGCUCCACAUGAUUUUGGAGGGAAAUGCAUUUGCAACGUGUUUGCAUGUCUCUGGAUCAGCGCCAAACAAAAGCGGGCAUCUCUCCAGACGUCUACGUUUGUUAGCUGCCUACAGUGCUGCUGUUAUCUCUGGUAGGA
Non-coding RNA from Nothobranchius furzeri (turquoise killifish), 3886 nucleotides. Lineage: Eukaryota; Metazoa; Chordata; Actinopteri; Cyprinodontiformes; Nothobranchiidae. The record is from RefSeq and is a predicted model, not a curated record.